This 680-nucleotide ribosomal RNA is filed under the name Pirella circinans. Its description in RNAcentral is "eukaryotic LSU rRNA". It matches the Rfam family "Eukaryotic large subunit ribosomal RNA", at positions 66 to 647 of the family's 3401-position model. The record is from RNAcentral. Lineage: Eukaryota; Fungi; Mucoromycota; Mucoromycetes; Mucorales; Mucoraceae.
UAACAAUGAUUUCCCUAGUAACGGCGAGUGAAGAGGAAAGAGCUCAAAGUUGGAACCUGUUUGGCUUAGCUAAACCGGAUUGUAAACUGUAGAAGUGUUUUCCAGACACGCCUGGUAAAAAAGUCCUUUGGAACAGGGCAUCAUAGAGGGUGAGAAUCCCGUCUUUGGCCAGAGCUGUUGUCUUUUGUGAUACAUUUUCAAAGAGUCAGGUUGUUUGGGAAUGCAGCCUAAAUUGGGUGGUAAAUCUCACCUAAAGCUAAAUAUUUGCGAGAGACCGAUAGCGAACAAGUACCGUGAGGGAAAGAUGAAAAGAACUUUGAAAAGAGAGUUAAACAGUAUGUGAAAUUGUUAAAAGGGAACCGGUUGGAGCCAGACUGGCUUGACUGUAAUCAAUCUAGGCUUCGGCCUGGAUGCACUUGCGGUUUAUGCCUGCCAACGACAAUUUUUUUUGAGGGAAAAAACUAGAAGGAAUGUGGCCCACCUCGGUGGGUGUUAUAGCCUUUUAGAAAAUACCUUGAAUUGGAUUGAGGAACGCAGUGAAUGCCUUUAGGCAAGAUUGCUGGGUGCUUUCGCUGAUAAAUGCUAGAAUUUCUGCCUUGGGUGGUGCUAGUGUUUAAAGGAGAAACUCGCCUGGUAUAUUUUUUAUUCGCUUAGGUUGUUGGCUUAAUGACUCUAAAUGA